AGACAGAAACAAAACUGCAGGUCCUUUCUCCUUUGUUGUUUACUUCAACACAAACACAGUUUUCCACGCUUACUGAGGUGAAGAACAAAAAUAUCAAAAAGAAAAGAAAUGGCUGGGAAAAAUGGGCCCAUACAAACAGGACAUCUGAGUACUGACAGAUUGAUUGGAGGGAUGCUGAGGCAGCAUGCGCUCCAUUCUCCAGAGACGGACACAUAACGGAGAAACAUCCGGCCUCAUUUCCAGCACUCUGUCUAACACUUGUCAUGAAGGCAAGUGUGCGUGCACGAGAGGAGAUGUACAUGUGGUUAAAAACACGUUCGUAGGUUCACAUAGUGCUAUCGUCCCUGGCCUCAAGAGAUAAGCCUUGAUUUACGUGCCUUCUGAUUUACAUGCUUCAAUUUAUCUUCUUAUUUCAUGGGAUUGUGUGUUAUUGGAGUACAUUGAUCAUGUUGCUGACCAGCAGCCACGAAGCACUUGGUUUAUUUAGCAUUCACUGCUUAUGCAGGGAAAAAAUAAUAAAAAAUUCUGGUGGUGUUCUCUGAAUGCAUUAAAGGACGUCGAAGAUUUGAAU
Long non-coding RNA from Poecilia reticulata (guppy), 571 nucleotides. RefSeq lists it as uncharacterized. Lineage: Eukaryota; Metazoa; Chordata; Actinopteri; Cyprinodontiformes; Poeciliidae. The record is from RefSeq and is a predicted model, not a curated record.